UUUGUGAACCUCCGGAAGGAUCAUUAAUGUU
RNAcentral lists this ribosomal RNA (31 nucleotides) under Liriomyza chinensis. Its description in RNAcentral is "partial 18S ribosomal RNA". The record is from RNAcentral. Lineage: Eukaryota; Metazoa; Arthropoda; Insecta; Diptera; Agromyzidae.